GUAGGAUCGUACCAACAGCGGCAGAAAAUGGUAUCACAGGAGUAGGACGCGUUAUGAAUGGGAAGUUACGGCAGAGGGGACGCAGCAACCGCAGCAAGAGCCGCAACAAGCUCCAACAACAACAAAGAUAAUAGCAGCAACUGAGCGACGCCAGGGAAAGGAGUUUACUAUAAAAGGUCACGG
This is a long non-coding RNA of Schistocerca gregaria, 183 nucleotides long. RefSeq lists it as uncharacterized. The record is from RefSeq and is a predicted model, not a curated record. The transcript has 3 exons. NCBI's taxonomy places the organism in Eukaryota, Metazoa, Arthropoda, Insecta, Orthoptera, Acrididae.